GUCGAAAAGUAGAGUCCAGCAGACAAAAAAGGUUAAUGAAACAUAAAUGAGGGUGCAGCAGCACUACAGCAACAAAAUUAUUACUCAAAAUUCACUCUACAAGUGCCAAAAACACUAAGAAACAAAACAUUAGAUAUUUAUUAAUUACGUCCAAUUUUAUUCCCAAAAAUGGUGUUUCUACCUCUUUCCGCCUUAUGCUCAUAAAACUACAGUUGUGAGGAGAGCAGAAAACAUACAGCCAAACCAAUGAGUAAAAAUGUGGACAUGGCAGAAACCGUUACAAGAAUGAAAUUAGGCAUAAAGAGAACAAGAAGAAUAGAA
Molecule: unclassified non-coding RNA, 321 nt
Filed under: Hevea brasiliensis (rubber tree)
Lineage: Eukaryota; Viridiplantae; Streptophyta; Magnoliopsida; Malpighiales; Euphorbiaceae
Source: RNAcentral